GUACGCAGAGACUGCGGAGGAUCAUUA
Molecule: ribosomal RNA, 27 nt
Filed under: Boletus aereus
Lineage: Eukaryota; Fungi; Basidiomycota; Agaricomycetes; Boletales; Boletaceae
Description: partial 18S ribosomal RNA
Source: RNAcentral